This 484-nucleotide ribosomal RNA is filed under the name uncultured bacterium. RNAcentral describes it as "partial 16S ribosomal RNA". It matches the Rfam family "Bacterial small subunit ribosomal RNA", at positions 29 to 523 of the family's 1533-position model. The record is from RNAcentral.
AGUGAACGCUGGCGGCGUGCUUAACACAUGCAAGUCGAACGAGAACGGGUUAUAGCUUGCUAUAAUUGUCAGCUAAGUGGCGCACGGGUGAGUAAUGUAUAGGUAAUAUGCCUCUUACUAAGGGAUAACAAAUGGAAACGUUCGCUAAUACCUUAUGCUCCUUAUUAACAGAAGUUAAUAAGGGAAAGAUUUAUUGGUAAGAGAUUAGCCUGUAUUGUAUCAGUUAGUUGGUGGGGUAAUGGCUUACCAAGACUAUGACACAUAACUGGUUUGAGAGGAUGAUCAGGCACACUGGAACUGAGACACGGUCCAGACUCCUACGGGAGGCAGCAGUAGGGAAUAUUGCACAAUGGACGAAAGUCUGAUGCAGCAACGCCGCGUGGAGGAUGACACAUUUCGGUGCGUAAACUCCUUUUAUAUGAGAAGAUAAUGACGGUAUUAUAUGAAUAAGCACCGGCUAACUCCGUGCCAGCAGCCGCAGUAA